Long non-coding RNA from Lycium barbarum (goji berry), 597 nucleotides. RefSeq lists it as uncharacterized. The record is from RefSeq and is a predicted model, not a curated record. The transcript is spliced from 2 exons. Lineage: Eukaryota; Viridiplantae; Streptophyta; Magnoliopsida; Solanales; Solanaceae.
CGUAAAGGUAAUAUAAUAGGUAGUAUAAAUAAGCACGUAUAGCAAAGAGACUCGAACCACAACAGUUGCCCCUAAUAGCUUUUGAAUCUAAAGGUUCGGAUCCUGUUCUGUAUCAGCCAAAUCAAGUACUUGAGUUAUGGAGAAACAGAAUUUAGACCUCUACUGGCGUAAUAUUCAGAUUAUGCAGGAGAAUGACAGGCUAAGGAAGACUGCUCAACGUCUCAGACAGGAGAACGAAGUAUUGUAUUCCGAGCUUAAACAGAGACUAGCAGCGGCAAGAAUUAAUCAAUUACCUGAACUUGAGCUCACUCUGGGCCCCACUCCUUCUGCAGAUCAAUCGAAACCCAAGAAUCCUCAGCCACCUCCACGCAGCUGAAGCGAUUCCAAAUGCUUCUCCCUGGUGUCGGUCCAAGCUCAAGGUUAUGGAGUGUUUUUAAGUAUUACUGCUGCUCGUGUUGUCGCAAAAUAGAUAUCUGCUGUAUGAAACAAAAUGGUUUAUAGGAAUAAGUACUGAUAAAUAAAGUGUAAGCGUAUCUGUAUUAGUUAAUGAGGUAUUGUUGUGCAGUUCUUUUUUGAUAUUUGAUCAGUUUCUUUAUC